AUGCAGCUGACGAGUCUCGAAUAGGACGAAAUGUGCGUCCUGGAU
Schistosoma mattheei is the source of this 45-nucleotide non-coding RNA. The record is from Rfam. Lineage: Eukaryota; Metazoa; Platyhelminthes; Trematoda; Strigeidida; Schistosomatidae.